This is a non-coding RNA of Gossypium raimondii (Peruvian cotton), 101 nucleotides long. NCBI's taxonomy places the organism in Eukaryota, Viridiplantae, Streptophyta, Magnoliopsida, Malvales, Malvaceae. The record is from Rfam.
AUGUGAAGACACUUUCGUAAUAACUCUUUGUAUCUUUCCCAUGCCUCAUACAGGGACUCAUCAGCCAUUUGUUUGAAGGUAGUGAUCUCAUUCCUCAACUU